Molecule: ribosomal RNA, 473 nt
Filed under: uncultured Methanolinea sp.
Lineage: Archaea; Methanobacteriati; Methanobacteriota; Methanomicrobia; Methanomicrobiales; Methanoregulaceae
Description: bacterial SSU rRNA
Rfam family: Archaeal small subunit ribosomal RNA
Source: RNAcentral
UUGACGGGGAGCACCACAACGGGUGGAGCUUGUCGUUUAAUUGGAUUCAACGCCGGAAAUUCUUACCGGGACCGACAGCAAUAUGAAGGCCAGGCUGAAGACUUUGCCGGAUUAGCUGAGAGGUGGUGCAUGGCCGUCGUCAGUUCGUACUGUGAAGCAUCCUGUUAAGUCAGGCAACGAGCGAGGCCCACGCCCACAGUUGCCAGCGUACUCUCUGGAGUGACGGGUACACUGUGGGGACCGCGCUGCUAAAGCGGAGGAAGGAAUGGGCAACGGUAGGUCAGCAUGCCCCGAAUUAUCUGGGCUACACGCGGGCUACAAUGGGUGGGACAAUGGGUAUCGACACCGAAAGGUGAAGGCAAUCUCCUAAACCCAUCCGUAGUUCGGAUUGUGGGCUGCAACUCGCCCACAUGAAGCUGGAAUCUGUAGUAAUCGUGUCUCAAAAUGGCACGGUGAAUAUGUCCCUGCUCCUU